This 936-nucleotide long non-coding RNA is filed under the name Bemisia tabaci. Its description in RNAcentral is "lncRNA ENSSWEETPG004536". The record is from RNAcentral. Lineage: Eukaryota; Metazoa; Arthropoda; Insecta; Hemiptera; Aleyrodidae.
AUGGUAUUCUCCAAUGCAGGGUUCUUCCACGCCUCCGAUAAUCGCUUUUUUGAUGAAGGCAUUGCGUACUGCAGGAAACAACAGUUUGAAAAAGCAUACCAAUGUUUCAAGAGACAUCUCUCUCAAAACAGUUUCUGUCAGGAAACAUUUCAGAUGAUAUCCUACUGUCAAUACAAAUUCAUGGACUGCCAAUGGAGGAAGAAGUUCAAGCAGCAGCAAGUUACAAGUAACUUGACUGACUCAGCAGUCGUUGAUACUCCCUCUUACUGCAGGAUUCAACGUCUCCCAGAAAACAUUGUACGAGCCGAUGGUGCAAUUCACCUCAAGAAUCUGUAUUGCGGUUUUCGUCUCAUGAAAAAUGUUGCUGUUCAAACAGAAUCUUGCGAUCCCAGGUUGCAUUCGAUCACCACCAUCAAAGCCAACAUGAGCGGUGCAUUAAGUACUGUAAGUCUGUUCCAUUCUACUUCUCUUGUUCCAGCGCAUGCCAGUCAGAGAAGAAUGACAUUGAUAGUAACAAAUUCUGCAUGUCCAGCAAACUGCUUGAAUAUUUUUAUCAACAAAGUCCUUGCCGAAAUAAUGAGCAGUGUCUCCUCCUUUCCAAUCGAUUUCAGUCCCUUAAUUUUGAGCGUCGAUCAGACUCCUCUUUCUGAUCAAGAUGUUAAAUUGGACCUAAUUCCCGCAUCGAGCGAACUUCUAACCUGCUCCAAUGUAUGUUUACGUCUUCACGGUCAUUAUAUUGAGUUCAAAAACUUGCGUGUGUACCAAGUAGAUCCCUUUAGGUUGCGCUACCUGGAGUGUCAUGCAUCCAAAAACAUUGAUUCAGGUCACUCGCAGUCGCAAGAUCUCGUUUCAUUCAUCUACCCAGAACGCAUAAUUCUACAUUCCCUUAGUACAGAUUUGUACAAUCUCACCUUGCUUGCCGGUCCUUUAGAAUAA